CAGCCGCCACGGGAAAACGAAGGGUGCAAGCGUUAAUCGGAAUUACUGGGCGUAAAGCGCGCGUAGGUGGUUUGUUAAGUUGGAUGUGAAAUCCCCGGGCUCAACCUGGGAACUGCAUUCAAAACUGACUGACUAGAGUAUGGUAGAGGGUGGUGGAAUUUCCUGUGUAGCGGUGAAAUGCGUAGAUAUAGGAAGGAACACCAGUGGCGAAGGCGACCACCUGGACUAAUACUGACACUGAGGUGCGAAAGCGUGGGGAGCAAACAGGAUUAGAUACCCCAGUAGUCCCUGUCUCUUAUAC
This 301-nucleotide ribosomal RNA is filed under the name uncultured bacterium. RNAcentral's name for it is "partial 16S ribosomal RNA". It matches the Rfam family "Bacterial small subunit ribosomal RNA", at positions 509 to 807 of the family's 1533-position model. The record is from RNAcentral.